CUGUGAAGGACUUGCCUACUGCCCCAGCGGUCCUUGGACAUAGGAGUCCUUACAGACUCUGAAUGCAAUCAGAGCCCUGAGUCAUUAGAGCCCAGGACCCUGAAGUCUCUGUUUUUCAGGCAGACACAGAGCAGCUGCCAUAGUUCAGGGGUGGGGUUUGUGCCAUCAGCCAUUUCCAGGAGCUGAAGGAGGUCAGAACCCUGACCACAGAUGCCGCCUGGUGCUCUCAGCCACAAGACCAAGACAGCCUCCGGGGACCCCAUCCCUCAAGCAAGAAGUCAAAUGCAAAGCAAGUUCAAAGGCAGGUCAUACACCAGCUAAGCGGGCACAGCUGGGCACAGUUCCCGGGGCCUGCCGGGCAGCGCUGGGAAGGGCGGCAGAGAGCGCGGACUGGACGCUCGUCUUGGAAUGACUCAGCCAGGAGCAGCCGCCAGCAGCAUGGGCCACGCAGCAAACGGGCGCGCCGUGGGAGCUGGAGAGGCCAGGUCUUCUGGAACCAGGCCAGUGCACCCUGCCCGGGCGUCACCCCACCACGGACAUUCACAAUGACAGUCAGCACUUCUCAGCACACUGUGGAUCACACGCAUUAGCCUGGCACCUGGCAGCGCCCCGAGGGUCACAUUACUGGAAGAAGAAACCUGGAGCUGAUUCACAAAAGUAGAGUAAUCCUGUCUGCAGUUGAGAGUUGAAGCCACGAGGUGGCGCCCUCAGCACACUACUUGAGCUGUUGGGUUUUCCAGCGGCAAUGACCAGCACGGGGACAGAGGAUGUCCUGAAGAGGGGCUCUGUCCGCUUCAGGACGUCCAGGGGAGUCACCUGUGUAACACUCACAGGAAAUACAUGCUUCUGUGGGUACACAGCUGGGAACAGGGUGAGGCAAGUGAGUUAUCUUGGGUGCAAAUUUUAAGGGGCAAUGAGCGCCCCUCUCCCCUCACCCUGGUCCCGGCCCUGGGCCACCGGACUGGGACAUGUCUGUGAGGACCAGAGUUGGGGAGCGGCUCCCUGACACCCCAGGAGAGAGGGUGAUGCUUUGACCUCAGCCCUGGUCAGGUGGGGCCUACACCACGGGGACGCUAAAGCCCCUAUUCUGAUCCAGAGGCUGUGGCCGGAAUAAACGGAUGUACUUUCUGGGAGGGGAUUAAGGGGAUGGACGAGGUGCUGCCCCAUCCCUAUUCCCACUAUGAAUUGGAGCCACAGGGACAUGGAGGGUGUGGAGCUGAGCCGAGUGCGUCCCUGGAGUGCCCUUUCCUGUCUGCACUCGGGCUGGGCCAGCCUCCUGUGGCUCCUGCACAUGGCAGCCCCCCUCAGCUGGAGGAGCCACAGUGGAGCAGGCGUGGAGUCCGUGGCACCAUGGCAGGGGGUCUCUGUCCAGGGCCUGGGUACUCGGUGACACUGGGAGAGAAUGCAGCCUGCAGCGUGGCCUCGGAAACUGGAAUAAGAGAGCUGACCUAUGAAGGAGGCACGGGAAGCUGGGUGCAGAGAUGACCGAGAAACUGGCAAACAUUUUGGUAAACCAGAGCACCAUGCUGCGUGAGUGAGGAGUAACCAAGGUGGAAGUGUUAAGGAUGAGGUGGAACGAAUAUUCAUACCAUACAGUAACUAACACUGAACACAGUCACCUGGAAGAGAAGACUGGGGAGAAUCGGGACAUUAAGGCUCCUGGGCACUUGCGGUUUUUACUCCGGGUCAGCGCUGUCCAACAGGGAUAUAGUUUGAACCACGUCUAUAAUUAAACGCUUUCUGGUAGCCAUAUUAAAAAAGAAACAGGUGAAAUUGGUUUAAUAACAUAUUUUAUUUAGGGCAAUAUAUGCAAAAUACUAUCAUUUCCACAUAUAAUCAUUUAUAAAUAUUAUUUAUUGAAACAUUUUGUAUUCCUUUUUUUAUACCAACUCUUUCAAAUCCGGUGCAUAUUUUACAUUUAUAGCAUAUUCCAAUUUGGAUACUAAAUUUCUGCUGCAAAUAUUUUAUCUGUAUUUAGAGUUUACAAAAUUUAGAGUUAAAAAAAGAUUUUCAAGUUGUUCUAAACAUGCGUUUUUAGUAAUUGGAUUGUGUAUCAAUUUCUAAAUUAAGAUUAAAUAAAAUUGAACAUUUAAGUGCUCGGUUGAUCUAAUUUCAAAUGUGAUUAGUGGCCCUACUGUAUUGGAUAGUGCAGUGGUAGGCAUUUAAAAGUAAAGUAUUCAUGUUAAAAAUGUUAAGAAUAACAAGCAAAGAAUAGAAGUAGAAUAUAUAACUUCUAAACCAGUAGAGGGGGCUGCAUACAAAAAAAAUCCCGAUCAAUUCAACAGAAGGGGAAGUGAGAAAACAAUAAAACAAAAAUUAUGAUAAAUAGAAACACAAAAGAAGAAGAUAAAAAUAGGUAUAAAUGCCAUAAAUUUAUCAGUAACAGUAGUAAAUGUAAACAGAUUAAUCUCACACAUUAAAAGACAGAAGUACUUAGGUUGGAAUUUUUAAAAAUCCAGUUGUAGCUGCUUGUGAAGAGACAUCUAAAAUAUAAGAACACAGAAAUGUUGAAAAUAAAUGAAUGGAAAAAGAUAUGUGAGACAAAUAGGAAUUAAAAUAAAACUAGUGUAGUGAACUCAUAUUAAUAUGGACAAGACAGACUAAGGAAAAUCUUUAUUAGGGAUAAAGAUUGUCAUUGCAAGAUUAUAAAAGAAACAAUUCAUAGAGAUACAACAAUCUUGAGCCUAUAUACACCUAGCAACAUAGCCUGGAAGGAAAGAAAACAAAUAAAAGUCUGUGACAUAAUGUGAAGAAUUUGAAAAUUCACAAUCUUAGUGGAAAUUUUAUGAUAACACUCUCAGAAACUGAUAGACCAAGUAGAACACUAGCAACAAAUUAGUAGAGAAAGAGAUUUUGAACAAUGCAUUAAGAAAACCUAAUAUAAUAGAUACAUGUAGAAGCCUGUACCCAUGGAAUAUUUAUAGAAAUUGACCAUGUACCACUUCAC
Molecule: long non-coding RNA, 2947 nt
Filed under: Homo sapiens (human)
Lineage: Eukaryota; Metazoa; Chordata; Mammalia; Primates; Hominidae
Source: RNAcentral